UUAGGGAUUGAGCCCAGUGGUAGGGCCUUGCCUGGUAAGCACAAGGUCUUAGGUUCAGUUCUCACCUCUGAG
This 72-nucleotide transfer RNA is filed under the name Mus musculus (house mouse). RNAcentral's name for it is "tRNA-Thr". The record is from RNAcentral. Lineage: Eukaryota; Metazoa; Chordata; Mammalia; Rodentia; Muridae.